This is a long non-coding RNA of Mus musculus (house mouse), 43926 nucleotides long. RefSeq annotates it as predicted gene, 38865. Lineage: Eukaryota; Metazoa; Chordata; Mammalia; Rodentia; Muridae. The transcript is spliced from 2 exons. The record is from RefSeq and is a predicted model, not a curated record.
UCUGACAUUUGGUUUAAAAUGUUGGAGUUUUUGGUCAAAGAAAGACUAUGAUUCCAGUCAACAGUGUAAACAAGGAGAAAGAAUGUUCAGUGACUGGCAAGGAGGUAAGACGGGGAGAAAGCGUAGGGAAGGCUUGCGGAAGUCUCAUGUGAGGGAGGGGAUAUAAGAGUCCCACUGUGAUCGUGGGAAGAAAAGGGUGGUAAAGGACAAAUAGAUACACAGGGGCCUGAGCUCUCAAAGCAAAUGGAUCAACGUACAUUCAACAGGGGUUUAGAAAAUGGAUAAUCAGAGGAACCUGGCAGAAUCAUAGAUACUUACAUAGUGGCAUUGACAGUCAGCUUCUUGUAGGCACGGUUCUGUUAACAGAUUCAACUGUCUAGCUAAGGGUUGGGAGGAAAACUACAUUUUGAGCUGAACACAUCUGUAUUUGCAACUACUUCUAUGCUGUUGGCCUUGUGUUGGGCUACCAUGAGUAAUGUAGGGAUAACUUUAAAGUCCAUGAGAAGAGGGUGGGAUUUGCUCCAUGCAAAUCCAUCACUGUGUCAUACGGGAGGCUUGGGCAUCAUGGACCUGGGUAACCGUAGUCAUUACUUUUCUCACUGCCACAGCAGAACACCUAGAACAGCUGUCUAAAGAGGGAAGGAUUUAUUCUGGCUCACAGUAGUCCAUCAUGGUGGGAAAGUUACUGUGAAGGUGUGAAGACACAGGUGGUCACAUGGCACCUGCAGUCAGGAAGCAGAGAGACAUGAAUGCUGGUGUUCAGCCUCUUUUUCCUGUCCAGAAUUGUAGCCCAUGUGGGGGUGUCUCCCACAUUCUAGUUGAUUAUAUAUUUUAUCAAGUUAACAAUUAAUAUAAACUGUAACGGUGUCCAUAUGGGCUCCAAGAGUCUCACAUAAACGCCAGAGGCUGGCUAGAAAAGGACAAAUGUGUCCGUGCCAUAAGGUAAUGUAAAGUUAGCGGAUCUUGGUUUGCAGCAUAAGAACAAGUACUUGAAAGGUUACCUCUUCACUUUCAAAAUGGUGGCAUGUAGCUCUUCAGUGGUCUUUGUUACUCAAUUUACUGGAGAACACUGAGUGGGAGAGAGGUUGACACAAAGCACAUGCCUUGGUUUCUCAUUCAUACCACCUUUGUAUUAGUCAGGGUUCUCUAGAAUCACAAAACUUAUGGAUAGUCUCUAGAUAGUAAAGGAAUUUAUUGAUGACUUACAGUCUGCAGCCCAAUUCCCAACAAUGGUUCAGUAGCAGCUGUGAAUGGAAGUCCAAGGAUCUAGCAGUUAACUCAGUCUCACACAGCAAGCAGGUGAAGGAGCAAGAGCCAGACUCCCUUCUUCCAAUGUCCUUAUAUUGUCUCCAGCAGAAGGUGUAGCCCAGAUUAAAGGUGUGUUCCACCACACCUUAAAUCCUGGAUGACCUUGAACUCAGAGAUCUCCCUGUCUUAAUCUUCUGGAAUCCAUAGCCACUAUGCCUCAAGAUCUCCAUACCAAGAUCCAGAUCAGAAACUUCUAUCUCCAAGUCUCCAGAUAAGGGUCACUGGUACGCCUUCCAAUUCUGGAUUGUGGUUCAUUCCAAAUAUAGUCAAGUUGACAACCAGGAACAGCUACUACAACCUUCUGUAAGGGAACUGUGUGGAAAUUACGCGACUUGUCAUUAGUUCUUGCUUUGCACAGAGUGACCUAGCACAGUGAACCCAGGAGUCUGGGCAUGAGACUGAGGUACCAGUCUAGGUUAGCGCUGGCAUUCUGCUACUUUUCCACUGAAGUAGCCUGUACCUUUGCUGCUGCCUGAGAUGGCUCUUUUGAUGCUGUUGAGAGGAAAGAAAUGAUGAAGUCUCAGCAUUCUAGAAGGGAACUUUCUAGAAAGGUGGUGUAGAGAAAAGUGUUACUAAUAUAGAGUGCCCUACUGGGACCCAGUACAAGUUGGAAGCUAACAUGUUCUUUAGCAGCUAGGUAAAAAAUUAAAUUCUAAUUUUGAAGGAAUUGCUCUGUUGAAAUAUACUGUAAUCAGAGACAUUGCCCAAGUCAAAUUAAAAAAAAAAAUGUUGCUGCAGGAAAAUGUAUGGUAGGAAUCAGCGAUGCCCAUGUUAGUGAAACCAUGCAAACAAAUUGAAAGACAGCAGAAAUGGGAGUUUAGAUAAUUCUGGUAAGUAAAGAGAAGCCAGCCACAACAAAAACAGCCCCCACCCCCUUUUUCUUAAUUCCUCUGGUGUCUAUUUCUGGAAAAAAAAGCAUAUUUUACCCUGAAUACUAAAUUUAGCUCUCUAGUCUCUGUUGGUUUAGCCCUGCCUCCAUCAAAAUAUUGUUUUCAAAGAUUUAUGUAACUUGCAGGCCUCAUAUGAAAUUCUUUCAAGUUGUGAUUGCUGAACAGUUGUGUGUCAUUAAUCUCUCCAUUGGAAAUUAAAAUGCCGUGGGAGACCAAGAGGGGAGAGGGGCCUCCUAUAUGUUAAGAGAUCAUGGGAACAGAGCUUCAGAUGACAUCAUCUUAUCGGGAGUGACGUGUCUGCUCUCAGUGUCAAGAGAAGGCUUUGCUGCUCUGAGACGGUCACUUUAAGCCCUAUUAUGUUAACUAAUAAAAAAUAAAAUAACCUCAUUCUAGCUUGUCUAAUCAGAAGAAUCUCUUUGUGAACGCCGAGGAGAUAGGAUUUCAGUGAUAACCUGUUGACAGUCUAUCUUCAGGGGUCGCUAAGUGUUUGCUCUGCAGCGCUAUGGGGCCUCUGCCUGUCCUCUGGGGCCUGCAGACCUACUCCACUGUGUUGUCCCUGCCUGCUUCUGGAUAGCAGAGCCAAGGAGGCUGAAUUGGAAAGUUUGGAUGUGUACUUUUAGGUGGUGCAUAGAUUACUGAUAAAAAGGGUCUCCAGGCGAUUGGCUGCUUUUAUGACAAGAAAGAAUGGCUGAAUAAAUGGGAGUGGUCCUCAGAGUCAGGAGGAGAAAGUUGAUGGAGAGAUCUGAACUCCCUGUUCCAAAGUUUCUUUCAUCACAGUAACUUUGAUCUCUAAUCUUUUGUAAUUUUGAAGUGUCACAACAUUCCAGAGACCCUUGUUAAACUCUGUGUUUUAUUCACUUCACAGAAGGAGACCCUGUGUUGUUGUUUUUCACCCCCUGUGAGUGUGCUGUCCUGUGUUAUGAGAACACGUGUCACUGUGAUCAGACACCUGAGAGAAACCAUAGUGAGAUGAGAUGGAUGAAAAGUUUAUUUUAUCUCACAGUUUCAAAGAUUUCCAUCCAGAAUCAUUGGCUCCAUUGUGUCUGUGACAUGGUGGGACAGAUGUCAUGGUGAUGGGUCCAUCUGGCAGAGCCACUCACCUCAUGCUGGUCAGGAAAUAGAGGUGCUUAAAACAAGACUCAGUGUGAAGACGUGGCCCCAGAGACCUACAUCAGCUACCUAAGCCCUAUUCUUAAAGUUUCCAGGAUUUUCCAUAAUAGUGUCACUAAAUAAGGACCAUACUUUCAGUACAGGAUCCUUUGUGGGGGAGGGAACACUUCUUUCUAAACCUUAAUAAGGUGGGGCAUCAGGAAAGUACAAAAUCCCCAUAUUUCUGAAAUCCAAAACUAAGGCCUGAUUCGAUUCUAAAGAAAAGUUUCAGUUUGGGGACCAUUUGGGCUUGUUGUUGUUGUUGUUUGUGUGUGUUUGUUUUAAUUAAAUAGGAAUGUUUAACCAAUAAAUCUAGAUGGAUAUUUCAAAGUAAAACCUUCCAAAAAUCUGGACCAUUUUCUGAGCUCAAACAUUUCAGAUGAGAAUCGUUCUCCCUGUAUUGAUCAUCUCUCCACUUUGUCCUACAGAACUUAAUUUGUUCAUUUAUGUAUAUGACUUCUAGUCAGCUUUUCAUUGCCCACUCCUGUGGAGGAAGUGAUAUAGGGAACAGAUUGAUAUGGCCUGGCACAGAAAGCUUACAGCCUGAGAGUGUUGGGCAGGAGUCAGGAGAGAAGCUAGGGCCACAGGAGAAGCCGCAGGGAAGGCAUGUGACAGUAUGUGACAGGGAAGGCAUGUGACAGUGUACCUGUAUGAAGCCUCAGUCUCUACUCCUGUGGAAACUCUGAGAAUGGGUCCAGCUAGCAGGGAAGGAGUCCCUGGGAGGUUGGCAGCCAUUAGUCCAGCAUUUAAUAAUGGGCCACCGACAUUGGAUCUAUUUGACUAGGAAUCUAUCAUGGCUCCCCUCCCCUUUUUCUCUGCAACCCCUUACACAAAUUCUUUAAUAUCUUGUAAGUCGCACCAGGAAAGGACAAUUCUUCUCUUUCUUUGAUACUUUCCAGCACACAGCCCAGGGAUGGCAUACUGGGGUGCGGAGACAGCCCCUAUGGAGACUGCCUUCUCAGGUGGUUCACAGUGGUGUUGAGAUGACAAAAGUAACCGUUCCUUCUCAGCUGGGGAGAGUGCACGUGCCUGUCAUUUGGGUCAGGAGUUGAGAGUCAUUCUCAGCUAGAUAGCUAGUGAAUCUCAGUUCUAGGCCAGCCUGAGCUACUUGAGACUUUGUCCAAGAGAGAGAAAGAAGGGAAGAAAGGAAGGGAGGGCGUGAGGGAGGGAGAACAGAAGGAAGGAAGAAGGAGAGAAAAGUAAGAAGGCCCUCUAAUAUGGCUAAAAGUCACUACAGCUGUAUAUGUUUAUUCUGAUUAAUAUUAUCAAGUACUUUGCCUUUAUUUAGCCUUGGCCUGUUACUAGAAUCUCUUGCAAGAGUCACAUGGGGAAUGCUGAUAAAACGCCUGUGUUCCUAUUGAUCACAGAGUGGGGCUUAUCUAUCUUAGAGAACAGAACUAACUAAGCUGGAUCUCUGAUAGAGUAUUCCAUAUUGACAAAAGCUUCUUAGAAUGAAUUUGUUUUUAAAGUGGCACGGGGGUUGGGGGAGGAGCACAUAGUGUGUAUCUUUUGCUGGAAAAAUACAGUGUGUAAUUAUUAAACAGCUGGCGCUAUUGGUAAACUCAUUCGAAAGGUGGAGAUCAAACUGCCCAGGGAUGGACGUCUCCUCACUGCAUUUAAGUUGAAAAAGUAAGGGGCAGUAGAUGCACGCUGGCUUCUCUCUAGUCCUUCUAGAUGGCCCUUGUAGCCUCUGCAGAAACUGUGUAUGUACUAUUAACUCUUAAGUUUUCUUUCUUUAUUUUGGGGGGUGGGGAGGUGGGGUUUCGAGACAGGGUUUCUCUGUGUAGUCCUGGCUGUCCUGGAACUCACUCUGUAGACCAGGCUGGCCUCGAACUCAGAAAUCCGCCUGCCUCUGCCUCCCAAGUGCCGGGAUUAAAGGCAUGUGCCACCACCGCCUGACUUAAGUUUUCUGUUAAGUGUGUCUGUGUGUGUGCAAGAAGUGCACAUAUGCUUGCAUGCACAUAGGAUUGCAGGCUGAGAUCAGAGAAUAACUUCUUGUGCUAUUCCCAAUUUUGUCAUCCUAGUUUGUUCUUUGACUUUUUUUUUUUUUUUUAAUUUUUUAAGAUAUAGCCUCUCACUGGCCUGAAGCUCACAUCAGGUAGGCUAGAAUUACUGACCUAUAAGUCCUGGAGGUAUACAUUGCCUGAGCCUCCUCAGUACUAAGAUAACUGACAAGCUACCACUCCAGGCUUUAAUAUGUUUUUAAAUAUGGGGGCUGAGAUUGAACUCGGGUCCUACUGCUUAGCAAGCAAACAAGCAAGCAGUUCACUGAUAGGGCUAUGUCCCCAGACCCUAGCUUGUCCCUUUUGUGAUGGUACUCAAAAUAAGAUUAACUUCUUCUCACACAUUCAUCCUCAGCAAGGUUUCUAAAAGCACAGGGCAUACACUGCCAUUUUUCAUGCUCCCAGCCAUGAGUGUCCUGUUGCAGUCUCUCCUUGAGCCCUUGAGCAAGGCAGAGAGUCUGCCGACCCACUGCUAACCCUUCCCAUGCUGCUUUGUCUUGCCCUGAACUUCUGUCUCUCCACAGAGGAGGGAAGGUGACAUGAUGUCUUUUUAGUCAUUCAAAUCCAAUAACUUUUAAUCUGAAGGUUAAGUAGUGAGAUAUAAACUAAGAGAUGAUAAUAUCAAUUUUAUGUUCACUGAAGGGCACAAUAUACCUCUUUCUAGUCGAGGGAAAAUUGUGCGUAAAAUGUCUUUUGCUUUUCCGUAGCAGAGCCAUGCCUUCUCACAGCCACAGGAAGAAAGAUUUGGGGAAAAUUUUUAAUAAAAUAAGAUGUAGCAUCAUAAAGCAGGGCAAGAGUGGCGUUUCGUGAUUCUAAUUAUUAUAUAUUAAUUUUUCAAGGCUGCGUGGCGCAGAGCAGCGCUCCUCUAAGGAAGGCUUCCCCCACUGAUGCUCAUUAUCCUCCAUAAGAACUCAGCCACCUUUUACAAGGUCAAAGACGGCGAGGGAAUGACACGAUGCUCAUUCUUUUCUGACUAUUUUUGGUCCUAAUGUGUGUGAUAAAUAACACCUUGAUCAUAUUGCUUCCCUCCCCUCAUUUUGCUCCUUCCUCCUGGUGAGCUCUCCAUUUUGGUGCAGUAAGCAUUGAACGUGCAGAAGCACUGGCUGGAAAUGCCUCUACCCGAUUCCCUUUCAUUCUGCUGUUCGGGUCAUGAGACUUAUAUUUGUCUUAUAAAUACAAAGUUUUAUGCUGCGUAUUAUGUGUCUAUGUCAUGUGUCCUUGUGUGCGGACUUACCGUAGCGUUCACCUGUCGGUCAGAUGGGGAUGACAUCAUGCACAGGGUGGGCAUGCUUUAGUUAUCAUCACCGUUGUCAAGGUUAUAGUCUGUAAUGGGGUGAUUCAUGACAGUGAUUGUGAGGGUGGCAUUCUGAAAGGAAUCUUCAACCUGCCUCAGCUGUUUGUUGGGCACGUGUGGCGUACAAGCACCAAAGAGCUAUGGCGCUCAGGCCAAGUCCAGCCUAGCAUUCCAUACUGCAGAGUCCUAUGUAAACGAAGUGAUACUCUUUGUUUAACACUGUCUACAGCUGUCUGCAUGCCUGCACAGCUGUAGUAGUAAUUGUCUCACAGAUGUGACAACAUGGCUGUCAAAAACAAUUUAAGGAUGCAGAAAUGAAUUUUGCCCUGAAGUUUGUGAGGGUCCAGCCCAUCAAUGGGAGAGGUUACAGUUGCAGAACCAAGAGGCAUCUGGGCACAUUGCUUCCAUAGUCAGGAAAUGGAAGCAGACGCUCUGCUUGCUUUCUCCUUUUCAUCCAGUCUGGUAGGUCCGUCCAUUGGAUGUCUACCCAUAUUUAUGGAGGUUUUCCUUUUUAAACAACACAGCCUCCAUAGAUACACCUCUACAGGUGUGUUUCUUUGGUGAUUCUAAACCCCAUCAAGUUGACAGUAAAGAUUUAACUGUUACAAGAGCCAGCCAAGGUAACCUAUUACAGCAGAAGUUAUAUGUCCCAGAAACCCUGAAAUGUGCACGGUCUUGCACUUCACAGAAAUAGUAGCCCUCCCCUGGGUUGUUGAGUAGAAUGUGAAAUGUGUGGCAGAUUUUCUGCUCUUACUUUGUAGUCAUAGGGUAGAUGAUGCUUUGUGUAUAUAUGUGUGUGUGGGGGGGGGUCUAUGAGUAUACAUGUGUGUGAGUGUGUAUUGUGUGAAUGUAUGUAUGAGUGUUUUGAGUAUGUUAUAUAUGCAUGUAUGUGCUUAAGUGUGUGUGAGUAUGUGUGAGUGUGUGUGUGUAUGGGGGGUCUACAUAUAUAUACACAUAAUUUACAACUUUGGCUUUUGGUUUCUAGUCUGAUGUAGUGACAGGUGGGUGUAUUCACACUUCCGUUGUUCUUGUUUUCGGAAAUUUAACUGAUAGUGUCUUACAAAUUAAGAAAUUGGAUAUUAGUAAUAGUUAAAAACCCUUGAGGCAGCCUGCUGAGGAAAUGGGGAUUGGACAUUCUUGGCGAGUCACGGAGAGUAGCUGUCCUCAGUCUCGGCUCCCUUGCUUCCAGUGUAGGCUUUCUCCCGCUCAUGUUCUCACCAGCAGACACCACAGAGAAAUUCGGCCUUUCCCUCUCCCUUUGCGUUCUAGGAAUUCACAGUCUAAUUGGGGUGCAAUAAGAUAUAGAAGUACAUACAGGAACCAUCAAUAGAAAUCUUAAUGCAUACAAAGAUAAACUGAAGGAGACAAGCAUAAGCUAAUCAAUCGAUAGAAGAAUGAUUUGGGUCAUAAAUCCUCAGUGGCCUGGAGAGAAAAAUUAGUAUGUGCAUAGUGGGUUUUUUUUUUAAAGGCUUUAGUGAAACUAGAAAACAGAAACUUGAGUGUGUGAGCAUCUGCUGAUUUAUUUUAAACCUUUCAGUGGGAAAUAUCAGAGCAGAGAUAGAUUGCUGAGCUGUAUAGCCUUGACUUGUGGCUUGGAUAAUUAAGGAUCUGAAAAGUUUGUCUUGGACUCCUUUAAUUCUGAGAUAGAUGAGAUUAGGAGCAACUGGUGAGAUAGAUUUGAGCUAUGGAGCAUCUGGUGGCAGAUAGUGAGUUGAGGUGUCUUCAUGACCGACCUGAGUUCACUGGGCUGCAGGACAUAGCUGCUGGAGUCUCUGUUAACAUAGCCUGUGGUGUGAAUGUGAGAUUUGCAGGGAUGAGAUGGGGCCUGUUAAGUCUGGCUUGUUUCCUUGGUAAGGUCUAUAUUUCCUAUGCUUUAAUAUCAAAUUCUAGCUACUUACCUCAUCCUAUAAUUAGAAUAAUUGAAACCUUAGUACCUGAUUUGAUAAUAGUUGUCAAAUCUGAAGAUUGUUGUUCAAUGCACUUAUUAACUGUAUUUUCCAGAAGAUGGAGUCAGCUUUGGUAUUUUUUAUCCUUUUGGGGCCUUUUGUCUUUUCUUUCUUACAUAGUUGCUUCUGGGUUUUUUUUUUUUUAAUUUUUAAAAUUUUUUAGAGCUUAUCCAAUAUUUCACAAGUGAUGAAAAUGUGUUCAUUUCUGUCACAUACCUAUUGUCAAACAACAUUGGCUAUGGAGUGUGUGUGUGUGUGUGUGUGUACAUACAGGCAUAUGUGGGUACAUAUCUUGAGGAGGCACGCAUAGGGGCAUGUAUGUGUGCAUAUGCAUGUAGUUGUGUGCAUGCAUAUGUGUAAGUACAAAAUUUUACAGUUCUGUAGAUGACCCUUCUCAUUCCCUCUGCAGAAUUUUUGGUAUGCUAACUUGUUCAAUGUUUGAACAAAUAUUUCUAUCCUUUUCCAGGAUUACUUUAAGUUAAGCCUUUUAGUCGUCUAUCUCUGACUUGGAGUAGGGCUCUUCUUUUGGCUGUAAACACUCUACAGCAUGUUCCUUGCAUUAUUUCUCAGGUACCACAAUACCCCAGCCGAUUCUGAAGAAAACUCUGUAAGGCAUGGAGUCAGGUUAAGCCUGGAGCCCUGAGAGCCAUUUCACAUUCAUUCAGGUGGCUGGACCCACCUUUACACUCUUCAUCUCAUCUCUCCUCACUGCAGAACCCAUGUGUGAGGCAGGUCCAUGAUCUAUGAACCAGGUUCAUAGAUCUACCAGCCAGGUUCAUAGAUGUGGUCCACAAAGCAUGGACAGCCCCUUUGGCUCAGAGAUCCACACUGUCUGCUUUGUUUGCAAGGAAUUGCAUCUUUCUCAGAGGUUCUUGUGGGAUUGUGUUGAGGACUUCUUAGAACUGAUUGCCAGACUCUCCUUCAGAAUUCUCAAAAUCCUGGAUGGGUCCAACAAUUUGCUUCUUUGGUUUCUCUCACCCAUCUUCCACUGCUUGACUGAAGAGCCACACUGGUGGAAUGGCUGGCAGGCAAGGUUAGAUUGUGGGACUGAAGCUCUGGCCCAAGUCACAGUCCUUCCUAGAUGAGUUAUUCUGGACAUCUGAAAACUCUGCACCUCAGUUUUCAUAUCCAUCAAAUGGGGACAGCAUCACCAUUCACUAUCCCGAGGACAACAAAGGACCAAGAAAUUGCAGCACAUUGUAAUGGUCUGCAGAUGUCAGCUGGUGCUGUUAUUAUUAACACCACUGCCACCACCAAUAAGAAUUUAACCUACAAGAAUAGUAUGUGGAAUACAAAGAAUCUAAUCCAUGACUGUGUUUUUUUUAGUGUAGUGUUUAAAAAAUAAAAGGUUGAAUAGUUCCUAAAUCUGAUGGGAGAAGAAGAGUUCAGUGGGUGGUUUUCACAUAAAAUUUUAUAGCCAUUAAGAAUAUCAUACCUGGGCUGCUAAGGAGGCUGCACCUGGUCUCUGUGGCAUAUGUCUCUGUGGCAUGUACCAUGAGUAUGCACACAGCUGCUCACACACGUGUAACAUGCAUAAAAAUAAUAACACUUGUUUAAUAUUUAAUUACCUGAGGACUGACCGUGCUUUGUUGGGUGGGGAGGUGCCCUGACCCCUGCUCUUUGGUUUCGUUGUAGGAUUCUUGUGUGUUUACCAUUACUUUUUUUGCUUUUCUGUAUAUCUCAAGGUUUCCAUAGCAACAUUGGGUCUCUACUAAAAAAAAAAAAAACAAAAAACCAGAAGGUGCUUUUAAGAUAAGACCCUGCAGGAUGCAAAUGAAAUACAUAUGAAAUACAUAUAAUGAUCUUGAUCCUGUGCAGUGCCUUGGUCACAGUUUUUUCUUAGACAAUAAAAUAAUUUUAAGAAUUCCUUUCACAUUUAUUUCUUCAGUCACCACUUGUCUGGAUGCGCUCUCCAGAUCCACCAGUUUUCUGGAUGUUCCCACCAUGACCUGUGACCAAGGCAAAUCAUCCUUACUGAACCUUACUCUUCUGUGACAAAAGUCAAAACUCUGCCAGUGCCCAGAGAAGUGGGAAAGAAAGCAGGCCUCACUCUUCUGUUUUGCUUUUCUCCAUUCUCCUCCAUCCCUCGAGCCUCCCAGGCCCUGUGGACACCCCCUUCCCAUAGCCACAGGCACACAUAGGUACACGCUUCUCGGUCACUUCUUCUGUCCUUUCUGAGGCUACUUCCCUUUGGGAGUUGUAGAGGUAGGGGGACCAUUUGACUGGAAUUCCCUGCCAGGAGGGUGGAACCCCACCUUUCACAGUUCGUGCAUGAGAAAAGCUGUCCCAGCCAGGCAGUGGUGGCACACACCUUUAAUCCCAGCACUUGGGAGGCAGAGGCAGGCAGAUUUCUGAGUUUGAGGCCAGCCUGGUCUACAGAGUGAGUUCCAGGACAGCCAGGGCUACAAAGAGAAACCUUUUCUUGGAAAACCAAAACAGCAACAAAAAACAAAAAAAGAAAGAAAGAAAGAAAGAAAGAAAGAAAGAAAGAAAGAAAAGAAAAGAAAAGAAAAGAAAAGAAAAGAAAAGAAAAGAAAAGAGAAAAGUUGUCCCGUGUGACCAGCAUUCUGUGUCUCCAUUUUCUUACCUGUAAAAUGGAGCAGCACAAAUUCACCUUUCUGAAAGAGGUGGUGUAGUGAAUGUGUAAGUAGCACAUUGCCCUUGGCCAAACAGUCACUGCUUUAAACCGUGCUCAGUACUGGAUCACCCUCCUUGUCCCCCAUCCUUUAAGGAUGGACCAAAGCCAUGGUCAAGAUAGUAUGGAUCCCAACAUACUGGUCUGGUAUGGACUGGGUUGUUUCUCUAGAGUGUUCCAUUCUUUAGCCUGCCCCACUCAUCUUAUAUCCACAUGUAAUCAGUAAACUAUUGAAUUCUCCUUGUUGGAGUCUUCCAAGACCUGCCUCCCAUGGAUCCAGGAAUCCUUGUGCUUUAUAUCACUGGGUACUAGACUGUAAUUCAUGGCCGGUCCCAUCUAUCUACUCAUCUCUUCGUUUAUCCUGACCUCAGUGUGAAGACUGUAGAACCAGUCCUUGUAAGCAAUUAGUACCCCAAUUUAUCAUUUUAGAAAAGAAAACACACAUCCUAAUCAAUACAGAAUCUCUCCUCUGUACCCACAAGCGAGCACCACCAAAGGGGCCCCUUGCACAAAUGUUUUAAAUUUGGAGGCAGAGUUAAGGACACAGUUGGCCUCCAGAAUCUGAAUUGAAUCAGGGUUUUAUUUCAGAUAAAAAUCUUUGGGUCUCAUAACUUAAAAAACACAACUUUUACUGGCAUUACGCAAUUUGCCACGGGUCAUUUACCAAAAUGUUUGUAUAUGUAAGUCCAGGUUCUUCUCUUUAAAAAGAAGGAAGGGUGGAGGGCAGGGGUUGGAUUUUGCUAAAAUCCAGGUGGCGUUCGAGUUUAUAUUUAAUUUUAAUUGGAAAUGAAAUACAGGCAAAGGAGGGGGGAAAGACCCACCAUGUUUUCUUUGCUAAGAGUAUCCAUUGGGGAGAGGAGGGGCACCGGCAGCCAGAUUUUAAGACGCACAUUUUUUAUUGGCAUGUCUAUUUUUUUUUCUGGCUGAAUUUUUAUGCCUGCAUUUUAAAAAAAAUUGAGUUUUCACACAUGGCAGGCAUUUUUAUGUCUCAGUGCCACUUGCCGCCUCCCUCUGUAUUUUCCAUGCAGUUAUUACCUAGAACCAGGAGGGCGUUCUUUAUACGCCACACAGAACCAAGAGCUUUCCCCAAGUCCUCUGCUGAGCCCCUUUUGAAGCUCCAAAUGAGGUAAUAUUUAAUUCUUGCGGUUUAUUUUGAUUUCUGAAAGAGUGAGGAAUUUUGGAAGAAAGAAGAGUAAGUGAAAACCUUCAUUUUAAGCCAGAAUUUGAAGGUCCUACAAAGUACAGGUACAGUUUGUGAAACUGCCAGGAGACACCAGCAGAGAAACUGGACACAGUUAAAUGGCGGGUUCGUGGACAGGCAGAGGCAAUGGGCCAGCCCUGAACUCCCAACAGUGCCCAAGAGAGCAAAACCUUCUGUGUUGGCUCCUGUUUAGAUGUGGGUGUAAUCUGGGCGUUCCGAAUUGGAAACUAAAUAUUAAAUAAUUAUAAAUUUUAGGAUAUACAGAAUAGUUUGCAGAAAAAUUAAAGGAUGCAGGUAAGGACACAGAAAAACGAGAUGUGGUCUUCAGUCCUGUUCUCCUGCAGUGAUGACUCUUAGAGUUCUUUCUCCUUCCAUUUCGAAGAUAAUUCUCCUGACUUCCAUAUAUCUGGUCCCAUUCCCUCCGUGCAGCUUCAGGGAUGGGAAAAUGGCUGACACCAAGGCUGUCUGCCAGCCCACACCCCAGCAGCUGGUUUUCUUACGCAUUAGCUCAUCUUUUUAAUCUCAAUUUUAAUUUUUAAAAAGAUUCUGUAGAAUUUUACUUUUAGAAAAAGAAAUUUCAUGGUUCUGAUUUCCAGCCUCAUUAUUUAUAAACAAUGUCAUUCUCUUAAUAACAUCCCUUCUUCACAUUUGCUCAGCCUUGCUAGAUUAGUUGUUGUUGUUAUUGGUUAUUUUCAAGACAGUGUUUCUCUCCAUAACAAACAGUCUUGGCUAUCCUGGAACUAGCUUUGUAGACCAGGCUGGUCUCAAACUCACAGAGAUCCACUUGCCUCUGUCUCCACGUGUUGGAAUUAAACACGUGCGCCAUCGCACGCCUGGCUGCUGGAUAAUUCUUUAUCAGGAGCAAUUCUUUAAAUAUUAACUCAUUUCUUCAGUCAUUGACUGACUGACUGACUUUUAUAGAUCUUUGAGACACAGUCUUAUUGUGUAGCCCAGUGAGGUCAUAAACCUGGCGACCCUUCUGCCCUGACCUUUUGAGUUCUGGGAUGACAGACAUGCACACCACACCUGGCCCUCCCAUUGAGGGAAAGGAAAACUUUAACAAGGCACCAUGACGAUUAGAUUGUAUUUUCAACAGUGAUUACAUUUUUGGGGGUGGUGGGGGGAGGCAUCCCAAACAUCUCUGCUAUCAUAGACCAGUGUGAGUUGGAAAUCCCUGACAGGAGGUAGUAGCUACAAUAUUAGACAUAGGGUGGUCUCCAGGUUUAUGCGGAGUCUCUGCAUGCGAUGGUGCAGGGUGUGUAUAUAAGACCCCCCCACUCUCCCCUGUGUGUGUGUGUGUGUGUGUGUGUGUGUGUGUGUGUGUAGUUGGAAGUACAAGUCACUGUGAGCUGCCUGCCAUGAGUUUUGGGGUCUGAACUGUGGUGCUGUGCAAAACCAACAAGCACUCAUAAGCAGCCAAGGCAGAACUGAGUACUCUUAAAAUCCCCAUUCUCUAUAAGUGGAAGCACAACUCUCACCCACAUCCCUUCACACAAAAUAUAACUGGAUGCAGCUGAAUUCGAACCUUCACCUGCAGGCUCUAGGGCCUCAGCUGCUUCUCAGACCACCAGGCUGACCUGAGCUAUUUAUUGUGUAAGUGAUAGUUCGUUCAAGUGCUCUCUCCCAUGACGCUCCCCUUGUCCCCGCACUGCAGAGGCCCAGUCUGUCACAUCUUCCAUCCCAUCCCAUUUCAUGUUGUGUCUGGAAAGGAAGUAACCCAGUAUUACUGAAGACAGUAGUUUUUCCAUUGCCAACCUGCCCUUGCUUUACAUGGAGCGCUGGCUUUUUAACAAAUGUGCCCACAGAUCUUUAAAGCAACUGUGAUUUGUGGCUUGUUGGUUUCUUUUCCAGAGGGAGGAAGUCUUGCUCCUCACCUGUUGCUCUGUCUCCUCCUUCUGAGGACUCAAACCUGGUUUACUGAGGAAGACCUCAGCAGUUCCUUCUGACCCUAAACCGUCCAGACAUGGCAAACGCUAGGUGAAAUUGUCAAUGUGCUGUGGGCAGGGAAUGGAGCAGUGUGAUUCUGGGAGAUUUUGGCCAUGUCUCCAAAGCCCUUCCAGAUUCCUGUCUCCUUGUACUAUCAAAAGAUAAAAAGGAUGCUUUUAAGAAAUGGGAAGUCUGGGUUUAUUAAUAAAACUCCAUGUCAGCCAUGAAUAGCAGUGGUUGCAGCAUAUUUUCUAGAAAACUUAAAAGCAGCCAUUCUAAGUUUGACAAGUUUCCGUUUAUUAUGGCUCUUGUGUUUUGUCCAUGGAACCAGGAGGUUUAUACUGCAGACUUUGUCCAGGUGCCCCAAACAGCUGUCAUGGACAGACAAGACUCGGGACAUACUUUCUGUGUUUUCUUUGUAUUGCGUAACAGGCCUGAACGCCUUGCCUAACCAACAAAAAUGUAUUUGGUUAAAAUACUCAAGUACUUUGUGUUUCUUGGGGAUGGGGGUAGGGGUGGGGCUCAUGAUUAGCCCAGUCUCUUUGGUGAAUGAGUUAAACCCUUGGAGGAGUCACAGAUCUCCUCAUUGUUUUAAUAUCGUGGCUUGUUUUGCUUUAAGAAUGGUUCGAGUUGUUGACACAAUGUCCUUUGCUCUCUGAGAGGUAUUUAGUGUUCCUCUCUCCGUGGCUUACCUCCUCUGCUCACAUUGAGGCGUUCGCCACUUAGCAGAGAACAACUGGUUAGCCAAUAAAUAAAAGAUUGUACUCAUGAAGGAUUGUGCUAGGGCGCACGGUGGGGAUUUUAAAGAUUCAUAACCUACAAGUCAAACUAUGUGCGUUUCCCUGGCAGCAAAAUAUCUGUUUGUUUCUGGUUUAGGAAACAGACUUUAAUGUUCAUGCCUGAUUUUACGGAGUUGGCACUUUAUGCCAAGUUCUUGCCUUGUGGUUAAGUCAACUAACCUGUUAGCCAGUGUCUGUUGUGGGUUAGGCCAAAGCCUGCAUGCCAUGCCAGAGAGGACACUUUUAAGUCUGUCUUUAUCUCAUUCUCACCUAUAAAAACAAGCUGGUGUGUCUGCUUUUGGCAAGCACAGCAGAGCAGGCUGAGAAACAAUCUUUGAAGAAAAGUUGUCAUUUGGAAAUUUCCCACUCUAAAGCUGGGAUUUGAGAGGCAGAGAGCCUCCUUUCCCGGAGGUGUCCCUGUGGGCACAAUUGUAUUGUCACAGCAGCAAAGAGACAGGUUUAGUGGGCCAAGGAGAAAACAAGCUAUUGCAGUUCCCUGGAGGAGUCCAAAUGGAUGUCACUGGGAGGGGCUCAGGUGCUUGCUCUGUGGCUCCUCCAUGUGCUGGGGAAUUCACGCCAGGCUUUGCACUCAGGUUGAAUGUGUGCUGCAGCCCCCACCAUCCAUCGAUGCUCUGAAACAGAGGGCUCAUGUGCCUCCUCAAUUCAGGAUGCUCCUGCCUCUGCCUCUGCCUCCUAAGGGUCUGGCUUCCAGGCCUACGCUCUGAGCAGCCCCUCAAGCCACUCUGAAGUGCACCUCUACAGGCUCCAGGCUCCAUGGAAGAAUCACAUCAGAUAACCACACAAGGCUUUUCUCACCAUGAUUUUUCUGAAAGGCUUCUUUGGAUCUUGAUCAAUACUUCCUCAUGUGUUUUUUUUUGUUUUGUUUUUUUUUUUUUUUUGGUUUUUUGUUUUGGUUUUUUAAAGUCUUCUUUCUGAUUCACCCCCUGCAAGAAUGACAAAGUGACCUCAGUUAGCGCUCACUUAGACAGUCCUCAUUGAUCGCACACUCCUUUCCCUCUAUACCUUAUCCUUAAGAACAUGUCUGUGAAAUUGUGUUUCAUUUCUCUCCUGGCUCUUUCUCCAUAGUCAGAAUUUUUAAAAAUUCUUUGGAUGAUCCACCCCCAUAUUUUAUGGAUGAUAAAACUAAGCUCAGACAAAAUCAAGGCUUGGCCCUUUGAUUAGUGCUUGCAUGCAUGUGCCUGAUGUGUUUAGAAACUGCCUCGUAGGGCUUGCUGAUGAUGUUUCCAUAUGCCAGGGUGAAUGAAGUCAGAAACUGGUCUUGUGGGUACCCAUAAAGUGAGCACCCUCACCCAGGCCCCAUGUGUGCCCGUGUGGCUGGGUAUUCAUAAGCACAGCUGCUUAGUCAUCUCUACUGUCAGCAGUUGGAAAGUCAGCUUUGUCACCUUUAAAUCAGGGGUCAGCAUACUGCAAGUUUACAUUGUGUCUGUCCGUCUAUCCAUCCAUUCUUCUUUGCAGUGUGUAUAGGGAAUCAAACCCACGGCUUUGUGUGCUCAGCAAUUGCUCUACCAGUGCCUUAUAGCCACAGCCCCCAGCCCCAAUACUUUAUUGAGAUAGUAUUUUUAAAAAGAUUUCUUUAUUUAUUAUAUGUAAGUACACAGUAGCUAUCUUUAGAUACUCCAGAAGAGGGCAUUGAUCCCAUUAUAGAUGGUUGUAAGCCACCAUGUGGUUGCUGGGAUUUGAACUCAGGACCUUUGGAAGAGCAGUCGGUGCUCUUACCCGCUGAGUCAUCUCUCCAGCCUGAGAUAUUUUUAAGUUAUUGUUUUGCAGGGUUUUUUAAACUUGUGUUUUAUUGGGGGAGGGACCUGAGUGUACUACACAUCAGGGGUUGGGGGGGGCGAGGACUGCCUGUGGGAGUUGGCUCUGUGUCCACCAUGGUGGUUUUGGGAAUUGAAAUCAGAUUAUCAGGCUUAGUGGCAGGCUCUUUUAUCUGCUGAGCCUUCACACUGGCUCCAGAUUUGCAAACACUUCUAGGUCUGUCAAUCUAACACGUUUUCAACCAGUCCUGGCUAGGGCCUGGAAACGGGCCUCACUGUUUCUCAGGUAGACCUCACUACAAGUGUCAGAGGCCUGGCCUUGGCCAGUGGUUUGCCAUCUCUCUCCUGGACCACAUGGGGACAGUAUCUCAAGGAAACAACUGUCUGUGGAGCAAGGUGGUCCAGUGCCUGUGCUAAUCAUGUGAUUCCUGCAGAACCUUUCUUCUUGGAAAAAGAAAACGAAAGCUCCCCAGUUUUGCCUUUGCAGCCAUGGUUAAAGGUUUCUCAAUCAUCAUUCCUCAAAGCCUGGUUCCCUGCGGUUAUCCCACAGGAUUCUGACUGAUGCUGGGAAAGAAGCACAGGCUUCCCAGAAUGCACCACCAGUCCCUGGUGAGAUGACCUCAACCCUCCUCUCUAGGUCACAGGUCUCCUUGUUUUCAGCUAGAAGGAACCUCUGCUGCACAGUCCUGUGUAGCCAUAGUCUCCACCCACCCUCCAUCACCCUCCACCAUCUCCACACCCUCUCUGUCAUUUUAGAAUUUUUCCAUUCAUGCAGGUACUUCCAGGUAUACAGAGGCAAGGCAGGAGAUCACUAAGCCGAAGUUCUAGGCUAGCCUGGGCAAUAUGGCAAUACUCUUGAAUUGUCAAUGAAAUAGAAAACAUUGUUUUUUUUUUUUGUUUGUUUGUCGACCCAUGCGCACUGAGAAGCUUCAGGGCAGGCAUUCUCUUUGUGCUGUGUGUAAUAUAGAGAUUUGCUAACUACACCAAGCAAUGGUUGGUGGAUCCAUAACAGUGCUCCAUCUGAGGGCCAUUGCGCUAUUUUUUUGUGCAAGGCAAAAAAUUAAAGUUCAAAAAGACAAGUUAAUCUUUUUCCCAUUGUGGAGUCAAAGUGGUUGAGUGGUGAAGACAAGAAAGGAUAGACUCUGGGGUUGAGGGAGAGAAGCUGAGUGUCUCACUGCCUGCGCAUCCCUCUCACAGCACAGCAGCUCUUGAGAAGUCUUCAGGCCACUGCCUGACAUUCUUGGGCAAUAAUAGGAAGCUCUCUCCGUGGUAGAAGGUGAUCCCCGGACAGACAAGGAGAAAAUGAUUUCUCAAGUGUUCCAAAUGCAAACGAUCUGCCACAAGCGUGGCCCAGGAAACUCAUGUCUACCAGCCAAAAUCCUGUGGCUGUGUCUCAGCUGAAGCAAGCCACUCGCCCUGCGAGCCUCUAGUUUCUGGUUCAUUGCAAUGGGUCCCUUUGUCCCUGUGCUUUGAAAUGACUCCAAACACAUAGUUUCUGCCUGCUGUUUUGGUUUGGCUUUUGUGUUUUGUGUGUGUGUGUGUGUGUGUGUGUGUGUGUGUUUGAUUUUGUGGAGGAGUAGACAUUAUGUGUGAGAGCGUGGGAAUGGUCUGCCCAGCUUCUCAGACCACUCCCCAACCCCUCCUGCUGUGUGAGUUACUGACCUUAACUCAUGGACUUCGUACAUAAGAACUCAAGAGAUAAAACCACACUUGGAAGCCUGAGGCUCCAAAAGUGCUACUGCUGUGUCAGCCAUUUCUUCUUGAACUGAAAAGCCUGUAACAGGGUGAUGUCCCAUUGGUCUUGCAUCUUUGAUCCCUCAUUGACCAGUGCUGGCAUUGCCCUUGGAUGUAAAGGGACCUCCUCAUGUGUGGUGAGUAUCUCUUUCAUGGAACAGGAAAGUCUCUCCCUAUGUAAGAGUGGACUUUACCAGCAGUGCCUUGUCUCUGCAGCUGGUAUAACUCAUCUCUAGUGUCUGCUGCCUAUGAGGCGUAUUUGCCUUAUUUGCUCCAUCCUUUGGCACCGUGAGCCUAAGGGAAAGCUCUCAUUAUGUGCGUCUGAGCCUCAGGGCACUGGGCUUGAGCCACCUCCUUGUUGCCACUCUCUUGAGCACCCAGAAAUUAGAUGCUGUUUCUUUUCUCUCCAGUUCCAAACUAAGCCAGAAGGCAGCCUCUGUUGUAGGCACUCUGUGUUUUGGGCCUUUGUGACCUAUGAAAUAACUAAUGAAUUUUCUAAACAACCAAAGCAAACAGAAAUGCCAGGAAGAGGGAAGGUGGAGAGAGAAAAUAAUUGCAUUAUACAUAGGGUCUGUCACAAAAUGCGAUGCAGAAUUCAGGGGGAGAAAACAUUGAGUGUGGAAUAUGGCCUACUUCCCAUGGGUUGUCUGGGCCUCAGUUUCGCCAUCUGUAAAAUGAUGCUCUGAGCAUCUUGUGCCCCUCUGAGAAGUGGAACCUAACAUCUGAUUGGUGAUGAAGCACAGUGGAUGCAGGACUCUGAAUGGUGAGCCCAUUGUGCUGUUCCCUGAAUCACUCACCUCUCCCAGACUGAGUAGUUUUCCUCAAGGCCUCUGUGUCCCAUGGUACCGGGGGGUCUUGAUUUCUUGGGACAUCCUUUCUCAGAACUAGGGACCCAAUGAACAGGAGUUUGAAAGCUCCCAAGCUCUAGUGUCUCCAAGUAUUGGCUUCUGUGCUCAUCUUUCUUUGCUGUAGUAGUUACAAGAAAGCCUGAGUUUGCUUCUGUGGGCACGGUGAGUCAUGAUGGGACAAGUGCUGACCAUGGAAGCUCGGGCCCACUCUCAAGCACAGGAGGCUCUAAGAUGCUUGACAGGAAGGGAAACUGCUAGGACUGUAACUUAUCAAAGGCAUGUUUGCUGUUGGCCUUAGUAUAAUAAUGUUAAUGAGAUUAUUAGGUGGGGGAGAUUUUUGAUAAAUAAUUGAUAAGGAUUAGAAAGUGCCUUUUCUGCAAAUAAACUUCAGAAUAAUUAAUAUUCAUGGACUCUGUUUGUCAACAGAAAAAUGUAAAUGAAGAGCUGGUCCUUUUACCAGACUCAAGACCUGAAGGACAUCCAUGAGACAAGGGUUAAGGAGAGAAAAAGCUAACUUUACAACCCACACCAAGAGCCUGGCCUUAUGUAGAUGCAUACUCCUUUUCAUGCUCUGUACACACACGUCCCAGUCCACCUCUCCCCCUGGAAGAACCUAGGAAAGGAGGUUUGUAAUAGGCACAGGUUGCAGGGUAUGGAGGGCAGUAGGCGGUAAGGGGCAAGGCGAAGUGAUGACGCAAAGGCAGUGUACUGGGAGCCACUUUUAUUUCUUAUUUAUAAUCUCAGUGCGAGCUUGGGUAACGGAUGACACCAGCCCUCUCACUUCAAAGCAGGGAGAAGGCACAGAUGACAGAGCAGAGAGUGAGAAUACAGAGGUACUAACAACAGGAGGAAAAAUGCCUGUUUACGGGAUCACAUUUGUUAGCAGGCGCUCCUCUGAUAUUGCUCCCCCAGGAGGAGCAGGAAAGAUGUGUAGCGGACGGUGAUUUAACAUCUGAAAAUGGUACUUAAAGAGUUUCUGCCUGGUAGGAAUGUGACGAAGGCUUCUGAAUGGGACCUGGGGACUUCGUUUCUUCUAUUUAUCUCUCUGUCUCUCUGGUUUUAGUCAACCGUAAUUGCAUAUUUAACCUCUCUCACUUAGAUUUAACCCCUGAUGUGCCAACUUUCUGCCUGAUAUAAAAUGUACAUUUAUCAGAAACCUUUACCAAAAAAAUUAUUUAGAUAACUUUAAAGCAUCAAUAACAUGGUGUAUGGUUUUGGUUGGACAGAGGGAUGCAUGGAGGGAUGCAGAAGGAAUACAGGUAGACGGGAAAGCUGUCCUUUCUUUCUUUGGCAAAGAAAGGGGAGAAAAAGCAGUUAAGAUACAGACAUGAAGAAGAACAAAGAUGGAAAAAAUAAUAAAACAGCAAACACUACAACCCUGUUCUCACUUCAAAUUCAUCAUGGCCCGAGCUGAGAAAAUUCACUGUAGGUGCCCUGCAUGGGAGCUGGAGGGGGGGGGGGGUCAAGGAGGAAUCUGGGAUGCUCACUGCCAUCCAGUCCUCUCGCUCAGUGGCCUUUCGGAGAGGCCCCUUAACAGCUUAUGUGAAACAAAUAUUAACACAAAUUGUAUAAUUACAUCAAAAUCCCCAAUUCCUCAAUGAUGCAAAAACAGCUUUCAGCUAAGAAUCCACCAGCAAUAAAACAUCUUAUAGUCGAAGCAGCGUACUCCCAGGAAGCCCCAAGAUGGGAUCUGAGCGACUUUCACAGUUUAUUUUCAUGGUAUUUAAAUUAUGAUACCAGUGGGUAUUUUUAAUUAGUGUGCACUUGUCUCCAUAAGCCAUGUUGGCAAAUUUGACUCAUUCAUACAGUAGUUGCGGAAAAGAGGCCAGCACAGCCUGCAGGAAUUAAAAUAAAAAGUUCCUGCAAGCUGUUAUCGACGUGACCAUAUCUCAUUAACUUUCAAAAUGGAGAUUAUUUGCCUGAAAGCUUGAUUUGACUAGCAGUAAUCAAAUAUUAGGCCCGACGGAGUGUGGGGUGGGCUGGCGAGGGGGCCUCGUUGUGAUGUAUAUCACCGAGUGUUCUGCAGUUCACUUUAAAUAGCAGUAUAAGAUCUUUGUUUUGACAAAAGCAAUAGGAAAGAGAAACACAGACAUAUGGCCCCGAAAGUAUUAUUAGGAGAGUUUUAUUUUAGAUGAGGACUCAUUAUUUACUAAGUUUCCUAGAAGACAAAUACAAGUAUGCUGGCUACUGAUUCCUUAUCUCAUUAAGGAUCCAGAAGAAGCCAUGGAGUAGCGUCCCCCACCUCACAUCAAAGUGUAAGCUUUGGAAACAGGGCCUAUCUUGUGACUGGUUACCUUUUUCUUAUUUCAUUGGAUUAAUUGACAUAAGCCUUGAAUUUAUCCAUCGGACGCCUGCCAUUGUUUUUACUAACUAUGAUGAAGGUGGUUGUAAAAUUACACACAAAAGGAGAAGAAGAUAAAGAGUCUCUUACCCCCUCUGUCUUUAAAGGAAGGGAGCAUCUUACUUGAAAUGGGUAUCUGGCCAGUCAUUAAGGAGUCUGAUUGUGAAAACCUGAAGUUCCCGGAGCAGGUUAGACACAGUCUCUUUUCAGAUCUUGUAUAUUCCCACAUGCACAAAGGAACAUUUGUACUGGGUAAGGGUAAACUGUAAGAUGAAGAUGUGUGGAGGUUGGGGGGUGGGGGUGACAGGCAAAGAGAAAGGUUCAGUUAAACAAAAGACAGGAGAUAAAGUCUUUGCCUUUUUAUGUCUUUGAACUGAGAACACGGUCUGCAUUUUACUACAGGAGAACAAGGCUACAGUGUAAGUAACUGGUUUUUGCAUUAGGCUCUCCCUGGAGGUAGCAGAAAAAUAUCAUGUCCCUGCAUGAAAUGUGAAUGUGAAAUCUACCAGAAAGAAAUAUUUAUGACCAUUUCAUGCUUGAUUAGGCUUGGAUGACAUCUGUUAGCAGACAGGAGCUGGACAAAGAGAGAGACGCUCGGGGGCAAAUGUUAACGGAGUUGUUUAGAUGACGCGAGGGUAGAGGCCUCCAUUUACUGCCAGGCAAAACACAGGAACUGUGUUAGCCACAGCACGGCUGACAAGCAUCACUGGAAUGGGGACCCCGGAAGCUAAGUCGAUGAACAGUCCCACAGCUGUCCAUCCUCACCGUGCUGCCUCAGUUUAUAUCAGAAUCCCUUAACAUCUAGGGAGCUGGCAUCUUAGUAAAGUUAAAAGAUGUGACACAGGAUAUACAGAAAUUCUCUCCACCUUCUCCCUGUAAGUUUCAGACCUUGCCCCUAGUUUUCUCAGUGGAAGAGUUCAUUAAGCCACAGGGCUACCCUGGUUCCAUUCUGCCACAAGAGUUCUUAUCGUAGUUUCCUUUAUUAGUAGGAUUCUUAUUUUAACGUGGUUCUAACUUAAGCAUGCAUGGCUUUAAACCAUGUAAAGGUUUGCCCAAAAUGAGAAGAAAAAUUCGUUUUUUAGAACUUAUUACCAGUCAUUAAACGCACUGAGGCUGGUACUGCUGUCUCAGCCGUGGCUCCCCAGAGUGGAGGGAUGAAGACUAGUUUCUUUCUGGUUCCUUUCCCAGCCUCUUUUCCUGUAACUUCUCUGUCUGGAAUGCUGAUGGGAAAUGUUAUUUUGUUUUUGUUUGCAGCAGGUCUGUUGUUUUGAUUUUGUCUGAGUGGUAUGGAAAACAGUACGUCACUUAGAGUGGGUGUUUGUGUACCGGCCAUUUGGCCGUUGCACAUAUAUUUCUCAUGCUUAUUACAUGAUGACAAGGGAACCAAAGAGACACAAGUUUCCAGCCGAUUUUUUUUUCUUUCCAGUUUAAUAAUAGUGAGAAAAAAAAGAAAAGAAAAGAAAAACAAAGUCAAUAGAUUUAGCAGUUUGAUGGCGCACAGUGCUGCAGCUGGCUUGGUUUCCUUAACGUUUUCAUUCCUUGUGGCGAGGAAGGUAUGGAGGUGAAGGUCAAGUGAAUGCGCACAUCAGUUUCUGUAACAAGCUGCAUGUGGAUAGCAUUUCACAUUUUGCAUAGAGUUGUGAAAUGCUGUAAUUUAAGAAGGGAAAUGCAUAAAAGGAUAAUAAACACACUUAACAUCAUUCCAGUGAUUAGUUUGAGGUACUUCCCCUCCACCCUGGUUUUUGGGCCACAUGUAGAAAAGACUUUACCAAUACAUGUAUCUUAAUUACAACGAUUCGAGAUGAAAUUCGGAUGGAAAGCCAGAACACAAAUCUCCGAGAAUAACCUCUAGCCAUUCCCUGGUUCUUUGUGGCCAUGCAAGCCUUCUCAGUAGGUAGGUGCAUCUCACAAGAGUGUAGAAGUUAGCGCUCUAAGUAAGUAAUUCUUGGUGUAAUACAAAAAUAUAAAAUGGAAACGAUGAUUAAUUUUUCAAUUUCUCUAUGCAGAUAUCUAAUCAUUGUAUCCAUGGACCGCCAAAGGCACCCAUUAAAGAUUUAAAAAUGCAAGAGGAAGGUAGAAUUCAAAAGAUGAGAUUUGGGAUUAAAUAAUGUAAAAUUACUGCAGGGCGAUAGUGACGCUCGUCCCUCAGUGAGAGAUUUUCUCAGACCCCUUGAAGAGCCACUUAAAGUAUUGAUAUGACUUACACACUUUGUCCUAGCACUGCUGUUAACCAAAUUAUGUAUUAGUGAUAAAAUUAUGCUCAAUUUUUUUUUUUUGUCUUUCGUGUCAUGUGUGCUUUCUAAUGCUUUAAAUAGUGGCCUCCUGGUAAGAAGGGUGUCUUGUCACACCCAUAUAUGCUGCAUCUUCCUGGAGGCUUUCCAUUUUAGCUGGGAAAACGCAGUGUUCAAGGGUUGCCUGUGUGUGUACACUGUGAUUUUCUUCAAAUCAGGGGAACUUUUAUAAUCCUAGAAGAAGGAGACCUCUCCGCCUCGGUAUAUAAAAGCUGUCAGGAAGGUCCAGCCGGGCUUCUCCGAGCUCCGCCGUGCUCUUUAUCACUUUGCUCAGCCCCACAUAAUAACAUCUUCAUCUGAGAUUGCCGUGGCACAGGGGAGCCGCAUUUGUUGAUCAAAUUUGGCUGGCUAACACUGUGAUCUCCUAUCCUGAAGUGCAGAGAUGUGCCUGGAAUAUGUAAGUGCAAAGCCAGCCUCCUGAUUGAUUGAUUCUGCCUGUCACAGAACAAGAUAACCGGAUCAGUAAAUACCCUGUGCACUCACCAUCGUCCCCACAAUCAAAAGUGAGGGCAUCACGGGGCUGGAAAACACUGGGGCAUGAUGGGAUGCACACAUUUCCAAAGGAUAGGCAGGAACACAUCCACAGACACACACGUCCACACAAGCACAAAGAAAGGGAGCGCUUUGUGUGUGGCUUCUUGCAAGGGAGCCAUGUUUAAAAAAAAAGAAGAAGAAGAAGAAGAAAAAGAAAAAAAGAAAAGAAGGAAAAAAGGAAGGAAGGAAGGAAGGAAGGAAGGAAGGAAGGAAGGAAAGGAUUUUCUAUGUGAUUAGAAUGCUUCCUGGUUGUAAACCUGGAGUUUAUUUUGCAACUGUCAUCUUGGAGGUGUUGGACAUUUGUCAUAAAAAAAAGUUGUUAUUUGAGUGCUGUUUACAGAGGAGAUUGAGAGAAAGAUUAGAGGGCUAGAGCCUGUAAGAGGUCAGCAAUGGUCUCCAGCACAAAGGGAGCCUUUUCCCAAGACUUGCUACCUGUUAAAAUAAACUUUCUGUUGAAACAGAUGGGCCAAACACAUGUAAACAAAUUGUUUAAACUUUUACUAAAUUCCCAAGGAGUUCUUUUCAAAAGUAGCACAAGGUGGCCAGAUCUGGUGUUUAAUUAAACAGAGUUCAAAAAGAGUUGAAAGAACUGAACCGGUGUGAAAGCUGGGGAGAUGGAUGCUGCUGACAGGUCGCCUGGGGUCACACAGUCAUGGCGCCAGGAUGGUCUCCCUAAUGGCUCUUGUCACCAUCUUGCUUAAGUCGACACUUUUCUGUUUGCCUCUUUCCUCCCAUAAGAUUUUUAAGUUCCUAGGAGACAGGGUAUCAUGUGUUCUUGUCCCUGUGUCCCCAUUUUCCCGGAAGAUGACACGGUAUGUGGUACCCAAGAUAUAGCGACUGAGUGAGGGUGGGCCCGGGUGUUGGGCUUUCUUCAGUUCAUCUGGAGUUCUUCAUCCCCUGAGUUGUAACUGGGCUCUGGAAUUUGAAUUGCAUCCUUAGCUCCUUUGGAGAAAUGUAGUCAUUUUCCUCGUGUCAGGCGGCUGCUUGAGCCCCUUCCAGUCUUCUUGUCUCAUGCCGUGGGAGAUGGAGGUCAGAUUCUAAGACGUGCUGCUUGUUGGACUACCAGCCACACAGUGAGAUGAAGUGCUGCCGCCUCUUCUGCCACAUUGGCCUCUGACAAGCAGAGCCUCGUUCCUUGACUGUGGUUUUUGCACAGAUUUGUAAGUGGGCCCUCGCAUGCCCACGGACCUGUUUCCGUGAAUGCCUCUGGGCUGGGUGAUGUCUAGACUAUUUCAGCAGAGGCAUUUCUUACUUUUCUCCUUCUGUUUUAUUUGGCUCAAAUCAGUGCCUCCCCAUUUCAGAUUCUAUAGUUUGGCCCACAUGGGCUAUCCCCAUGGCACAUUUAAGGAAGGUAAGGUUUAGGAGUAACCAAGAAGUCCAAAAAAAAAGUGUCUGUGUAGCGAGUCUCUCCUGUGGAAGGUGUGUAUGACCCAAGGACUACAACCGAGAGUCUCACACGUUGAAACCAGCACUCGUACUUCAGAAAGAAUUAUUACCAUGUGUGAGAUGUCUGGUUAGUUCUUUGCGACUUAGUUAUUUUUUAUUUGAAAUGGUUAAAAAUGCCUUUUGGCAGAAUUGGCCUCCUUUCUUAAUUUUCUGAACAUAAAGCUUAAAUGAGUUUAAUGUUCUUGAUUUAAAAAAAAAAAAAAAAAAGGAAGUGAGGUACUGAUGGUCUCAGAGAAGCUGGUCUGAGAAACAGGUUUUGAUUUUUUUCAUUUUUUUCCCCCCAAAAGCCAAGAGUGCAGCAUUCCCUGUUCAUUUGGCACAAACUCCUCCUAGUAACGUUUUAUAAAAUCAUUUUCUUCUCAGGGUGUGUUUUAUUUCCUUCCCUUCCCUUUCAGGAAAGAGAACGUGUUUUAUUGGAUAUUUUUGUUCCAGUCCUCGUUUCCAUUAUUUUUGCCAAAAUUCAUGGGUGUUCACUCUCUAUUUGCAUGCCUGUAAUAGUCCUUGAAGGAUUUGCAUUUGGGGACAGCUAGGGCAAGGCUAUGCAAAUCGAUUUAGUGGUCUUAGUAACUGCUAUCCUUUUAUUUACUAAGAAUUUUAGAGACAAACAAUUAAAUGAGGGAGGGCCCCUUUGAGUCUAAAGUUCAGAGGAAAUUCCUUUGCUCCUGCUUGUAUGAUGUUGUCCCUUAGUUUCCAAGGGAAGGGACAAAGUUUCAGCCUUAAUUCAUUAGGAGAAGGAAAUGGUGAAUAGAUUUGUUUUGGGAAGACAAAAACAAGUCCCUAAGAUGGUGCACCCCUCUGCAUGUGAAGCAGCCUUGGCUGUGAGUUGGCUCUGUAUAGACUUUUUUCUUGUGAGUUCACAUUGGGUGUUUUAUCUUCUGACACUGUCGUCUGAUCCAAGUCAGGUGUAUUUUCUGCUGUGGAGUGAAUGAUGCCUUCAUCCCUUUAAAUCGAGGCAUCUAGGUUCCUAAGCAGCAUCUUGGUGUAUGUAUGGUCCUUCCAUGGAAAAUCAGCCAUCGAACCAAGCCAGUCUAACUGUGCCUGGUUUCUAAAUCAGACCUAAAGGAUUUCUAUAUUUGGGUUUGAGCUGAUGAUGCAGGUUUAUCUGGGGGGAAUUCUUAUAGACAGAUCCAGGCCAGGCCUGGCCGUCACUGGGCUCUUGAUCUUCCCAUGGCCACUGGGGAGAAGACACAGCCCCUCCUUGGGACUGUGGGCUGCUGCUGGACUCUUGUGUUCUCUCGGGUGAGAAUUUGAAAAGGUGCUUCUGAGUAAGAGUCCCUUCUGAGUAAGAGUCCCUUCUGAGUAAGAGUCCCUUCUGAGUAAGAGUCCCUUCUGAAUAAGAGUCCCUGGGGCCCCUUCGGCCUCUGCUGCUUCAGACCUGAGCAUUGGUUUUUGUUGCUGCUGCUGCUGCUGCUGCUGCUGUUCUUGUUUUCUUUGUUGUCUGGUCUCUGUUGCCAGACUGACAUAUUUUGCGUGUUACUUGGAAUUUUACAUAUCUGAAUGAUGAGCUAAACAGAAAGCAAAGGUUUGCUGCCAUUUCCCAGCGCUGUAUGAAAUCUGAGAAAGCAAAAUAAGUUUCGGCGUGGGCACCCUCUGGUUGGCCACCUCCCAUUCAUAAAUGGCCUGACUCCCUGAUGAUGCUGGGAAGCGGGCCCCGAACCGUUGACCAACCAGAGAGUUAAUCACAAAUUUUCAUUGCUGGAGGAAGGCUCUUACAGACCAUAGCCUGUUUGUCCUGUGUUUCAGCCACCUGAGUCAUAGACCAUGAUCAGGGAUAGUCUGCUCCAGAUGUCUGAAACAUAUGCCGAGGGGUAAGUGGCUAGGAGUCACAGCCAUGAAGCCCCACUUCCUAGGCUCUCAAAAAGGAACUGAACUCUUAAGAAGUUUUCCGUGGAUUUCUUCAUCAUUUCUUCAAGCGUUUGACCUCUAUUUGGCCUACUCAUUGUUGCCUCCUCCUCAGUGUUUCAUUGAAGGAGCUGUUUAAGACAUCACCUGGGCAUGCCUAGGGAACAUCUGUUUAGUACCUUCAUCUUCCUCUAAGUUAAAAAAUACUUCUUUUGGAUUUCAGUUUGUGUGAAGGGUUACAAACUUGGUUUUACCAACUUCCCUCUCUUCUGUUGAUAUGUGCCCUAGCACAUGGACACAAGGGGGAUGCUCCAAAGAACAAGGCCACGUGGAACAGGAGUGACCUCUGUCACUAGGAAGUGUUUAUGAAAUGUUAAAAAAAAAAUAAAAUGGGAGGGAUUUUGCCUGAAGUGGAAGUAGCUUGUGUGUGAAACAUCAGUUGACAAUGUCUCAUCUCUGACUCCAUCCGGGACUCUAAUUAAAUAAUAGCAGAAUGUGGAUUAAAGGGCAUUACAUUCCAGUGGAGGCUUUGGGGGCACUUUACCCUCUACUGAAGAGUCUAAUGGGUAAGUCUGAAGCGGCUUGUUUCCUAAGCUCUCUAAUAGACUGGAAUUCUCCCCUCUCUCAUCCCUUAUUCCUUAUAGCUUGAUGGCCUUAAGGAAAAAAAAAAACUAAGAGUUGACAGAGACUCAAAAAGAAAAUAAAUUUACAUGAAGCAAGUAUGAUUGCGGUGCAUGAUGUGAAAUUUCCAAAUAAUUAAUAAAAAUAUUAUGUUGGGAAAAUAUAGAUGCAUGGAUGGAUCAGUGAUCAAUGACCUGCUGUCCGAAGCAUGUUGCUCUCUCUUUCACUCUGGCUGAGUAUGCCCUCAUGGUUCUAGCUGUGGCACCUUUCUUGGCUCACAUGCAGACCGCACCACCCCAGCCAGCAUGCCAGCAUGCUGCUUCUCCUGGAUAGCGUCACCUUAUGUGGAUUCGCUUGUAAUGUCACUGGCAGUGAAUUCCAGCAAAGGCAGACCUUGUUUCUCCCCUGACCUGUUGUGUCUCUCCCUAAGUGCCUUCUACAGAGCAGGAACUCAGUAUUUACCUGACACAGGCAGACAUUUCCUAAUCUUACACUGUUCUAACACCAGCCACCUUAAUGUGCCUGGCUCCCUCUCACCUGAACCAGACCUUCUGAAAGGACCCUAUUGAUAGCUCCAUUCCAGAAGGGACAUGAGAGACAAAGGCUGUGAGAAGCCACGGUUAAUCGGAAUUCCAGACUAGUAUUUAGUUGCAUUUGUCCUGGUGUUUUGGCCCCGUUUCAGAUAGCUAAGCAUCUCUCAUACCCUGUAAUUUAGUAUAUUGUUUCAGCUUUCCAAAUAAUGGCUUGCUAAUGGUAAAUGUUGUUUAACUUUCUGAUUCCGAGUAGCUACCUGUUCAGCAGAAUUUUAAAAUUGCGAGUGAUGAUUGAAGACAGGUUAAAAAGCACUUAGGGAGCUUUUGGCUGUAUGUUUGGCGUCGGCUUGAAUCGGCCAUGACCGUCAUUAUUCUUUUUGAAUCUGAACGUACACCAUGGAAGAGGCUUUACUUGAUUGGUCCAAAAAUUGAAACUCAUCUUUACCAAGGCAGUUCUUUCUUUUUAAAUAAACAGGGUAUCUUAGUCAGGGUUUCUAUUCCUGCACAAACAUCAUGACCAAGAAGCAAGUUGGGGAGGAUAGGGUUUAUUCGGCUUACACUUCCACACUGCUGUUCAUCACCAAAGGAAGUCAGGACUGGAACUCAAACAGGUCAGGGAGCAGGAGCUGAUGCAGAGGCCAUGGAGGGAUGUUCUUUACUGGCUUGCUUCCCCUGGCUUGCUCAGCCUGCUCUCUUAUAGAACCCAAGACUACCAGCCCAGAGAUGGUCCCACCCACAAGGGGCCUUUCCCCCUUGAUCACUAAUUGAGAAAAUGCCUUACAGUUGGAUCUCAUGGAGGCAUUUCCUCAACUGAAGCUCCUUUCUCUGUGAUAAUUCCAGCUGUGUCGAGUUGACACAAAACCAGCCAGUGCACAGGGUCUCCUUUGACUUAUUCUGACUUAGUAGCUGCCUCAGUUUCUCUGGUUGUUCUCUAAGGCUAAGGGCUCUCCUGUCUUUACAGUCUGCUUGUGCACAUUGGUGUUCCGUGGGCAUGUUUUUAGUGUGUCAAUUUUCACCUUUCACCUGGUUUGAGGCAGGGUCUUCUCUGGUUUGAGGCUGCAUAAUGAACCAAGUAGCAGACUUGUAAGUUUCCAGGCCAUUUUCUGCCUGUCCUUGCCCCAGAAGCACUUGGAUUGUGGACUAGGAUUCGGUCUUCAUAUGGGGACUGGGGAUUCACCAGCAAGCACUUUACCUACUGAACCAUCUACCCAGCCCCUUUAUAACCUAUUCUUGAGUACCCUCUAACAUUCCUUAAGCCCAGUGACCCUCCUCUUCAGGCUUCCAUAUGGCCAUAGAUUCAAUGGCCUCUCCCCCCCCUCCCCAUCUCCCCAACCCCACUACCUCCAUAGAGUAGAAUUAAAGCAAUAAUGACCCGAGUUGAGUCAGGCUAUAAUCAGUCUCCAUUGCCUGUGUGUAGGGAAAGUUUGGUCACUGAUGGACGACCACUGAUGGCAACAGACACCUAAGAUCACUACGCCAGGAUACACGCAAGUGUACUUGAAGCUUGUGAGUCUGUCUGAGUGCCCUGCAUGGCAUCUGCACAGCCCACUACCUAGCACAUUUCUCAGACUGUAUCUCUGUGACCAAGGCAUGCCUGACCUCAGUUGAAUGGCAAUGUUCUCCAUGUAGAUCAGUCUCCAUAGCUGUGAAGUUUUCAGGCCGAUUCCUCGAGUCUCUUUCUAGUAUCCGUAUGAGAGCUGUCCAGUGGAGGUCUGCGCUGGGGAGGAAUGGGUCCUCUGUGACUGGGAGCCAACCAGCACUCAAAAUGUAGCAAGGACAAGGAGUUAAUCAGGGUAGGUGGGUUUCAGAAUUAAGUAUAAAUACAUUUUUUACUUAAUGCCAAUUGAAUUGUUUUGCUCGAUUUUGUUUCUGAAGUUAUGUGUAUGAUUUUUUUAAAUUUAAUUUUGGGAAUGGAUAGGGUUAUAUUUGCUCUUUCUCCUCCCUCCCUCCCUCCCUCCCUCCCUCCCUCCCUCCCUCCCUCCCUUCCUUCCUUCUCUCUUUUGCUAUAUAGCCCAGGCUGGCCUUGAAUUCAUCAUUCACCUGCCUCAGCUUUUCAAGUAUUUGGGGUGUAUAUUACCCUUGUGCCUCAUUCUCACGAGCUCACUGAGACAUCUGGGCACUGCAGAGCAAGAUCAGAGUGGGGCAUUUGCCUUGGCCUUGUGAGGUCCUUGUGAGUUUGAGCCCCAGAAUUUAUCCAAAAGCCAACCAGCAAACAAAAUCAAAAACAAGAUAUGGCAAUGUUGCCUUGUGGUCGCAGCAUAAAGGGGGCAGGGAUGGAUGGAUCCCUGGCACUCAGGAGAGUCAGUAUAGUUCAGUGCCAAAUCCCAGGACAAUGAGAGACCCUGUCUCAAAGGGGGAAAAAUGAGGAAAACCACCUGUAUUAGUUGCUUUUUAUCGCUGUGAUAAAGCAUCCAUGCGAAGGCCACUUAAUCUAAGGAAGGGUUUAUUUGGGACAAGUGGCUCCAGUGUGUAAGUCCAUCACGGCAGGGAAUUUUGACAGCAGGUGGCAGACAUGACGGCUGUUCCAGCUGAGUGCUCCGAGUGCUCGAAUCUCAAACCACAAACAGGAAACAGAGGGGACACACUCAGAAUGUGUACCUCAAAGCCAGUGCCUAAUGACAUACUUCCUCCAGCAAGGCCAGACCCCUCAUCCUCCACAAACAUCCACCAACCCAAGUAUUCUGAUGCCUGAGAAUAUGGGGGCAUCUCAUUCAGACCAUCCAGAUGUCCCAGAUUGUGCUGGGGCGCGUGUGCCUAUAUGCCCCUGUCACGUAUGCACCCACAUACAUACAUGCACACAAAUGUACUCUUCAGAACACAGAUUCAAAUGAACCUGUUGCUGCAGGCUUCCCAUAUUCUAACUGUCCCUGUUGUAUUUUCAAUCAUACUUAGCAUUUUGUAUUUUUCCUUACACCUGGAGCCAGAGAGAUAGCCACUUUCCUCCGGGAGUGCAAAUCCUCCGCUGUGUUUGAUCAUAGGCAGAGAUCGUCAGCCAGCUUUGGAGUUGCUUUUUCUGAGAAAAGCUCCAAUAGGCCCAGCUUGAGGAAAAUAACACAGACACACACACACACACACACACACACACACACACACACACACACACACACGCACACACACGCCAGUGUCAAUUGAAAACCAGCCGGGUGGCAAGCACUGCUCCGCGUAGUGGGAAUAGUGCCGCCUUCGGCCCUUUGGGUGAUUGGGGACAGUGUAGAGAUAUUGUGAAAUUACCUUUUUUAUUGGUUCUUGAGCCUUCCGCAGUAAAUGCCUCUUCUUGAAGGAAGCGAAGAGAAUCCGUGUGUGCCGCGUGAACUUGGGACGCGUGUGUGACAGUUCUCUUCAGCCUGUAAUUUAGCAGAGUUGGAGCUUGAGUGUUUCUUGCAUUGGGCUAAUUUCCCUUGUGAGCAUCAUUAUGUUAAUCAGGCUGCCUUCCCUCUCGUGUGUUUACUGUGAUUUUUACUGUAUCAGUGGAAGAGUCUUAUCUGUUUUAUUGCAUUUUGAAAUCAACAUCUUUGGGAAAGCCGCCCUGUGGGUCUUGCUAGAUCGUUGAUUUUUGUUUUCUGCCCCCUGCCAGGUCAGAAAUGGCAUAUUGGUAAGCCUUACUGUAGUUUAAGAACCCACAGUUGAAAUACCAUAAAAAAAGUGCUAGCUGCUGAAGGCCAGCUUGUCUCUUCCCUACCUCACCUUCUCCAGUCAGGGUUGUUUGUCAUCAAAGAAAAUGGGUCCUUUGUGCAAAAUCCUCUGUGGGAAAAGUCACUGUGGACCUUCUCCAUGAAGGCCUGCAGGUCACUGUGGACCUUCUCCAUGAAGGCCUGCAGGUCACUGUGGACCUUCUCCAUGAAGGCCUGCAGGUCCAGAACCACUUCCUCUGUCCCUGGACUCACUUGGUACUUGCUAGCUUCUACUGCCAUUUAUGACAGUUUCCUCUGGCCUUGCCUGGUUAGAGAAAAUCACUGUUGGCAUCCCUUGUAUGAGCCAUCAUACACUUAGCGACAGCUGUUAAGUGGCUUCUGUCUUCUCUGUCAGACUAGUCCACCAUAACCCUUUAACCUUUCCUUAAAGGUGCCAUUUUCCACCCCCUUCAUUAUUUUUGCUUGCUUUUCUUUGGAUUUCCCCAAACCUUUCUGAAAACACAGUAAGAGAAGGGUGUUCCCUCAUCCACUCCCGAAGUUCUGCAGGUCAGAGGCCCCCAGUUGUAUCUUCCUGCCCAGUAUCCUUUUUUCCGGCUCACCUUCCCAGCCCUGAAACGUGUGGGGUUGUACACAUCACUCACACUGGGUUUAGCCUGUGGUCUGUGGGCUAAAGGAGAGAUUUAAAAGUGAACAGCACCAUUUCUUUCUAUCUGUGUCUGCUGGUGGUUUAGUUUGGGGUGUUUUUUGCUGUGCUGUUUUAAUGGAGAAUCUCUGUCCAUUUCCUGUCUCUUACGUGAAAUGUUUGGGCUGAGGGAGCAUGAGAGGGCAGCGGCAAGCAUACACACUCGUGAUUCCUGCCCAACCUGUCCUCCGUGUCUCUGUCACUCAGAGUUGGUUCAGAAGGCUAUGUCCUGAUCAUGUCCUUUCUGGACGGCUCACCCUCAUCUUCAAGUUAUCAGCCUAAUGAUCAUCUCAGGCUCUCCACUUACCAUUCUCAUGUUUUAAAUGUUUACUUUAUUUUAUUUUCAUGUAUCUCUGUGUGUAUGUGGUUCUGUGUAUAUAUCUGUGUGUCUGUGUUUGUGUGUGUGUGCAUACAUGCACUCUGAGCACAUAUCUGUAUGUAGCACCCGCUCAGAGGAGACUAUGGAGGCCGGAAGAGGUGUUGAAUCCCCUGAGCGUGGAAUUACCAAGAGUUACUGUGAGUGCUGGAACUAAACUGGAAAGGUAGUGAGUACCUUAACCACUGAGCCAUCUCUCCAGCCCCUCUAUCCACAGGAUUCUUAGCCUCUCACUCCAGAACAGGGGCUUCCUGAGGCCUCCCAACAUCACCAGUUCAUUACCCAGAUUGUGCUGGGAUGAAGAAAGACUUCAUGCUGCAGGUGGGGAUGAAGGAUAGCUGGGCCUUGGAAGGUUGGUGUUCUUGACUUAGGUGUGCCUCCGAUUCACUGAAUGACCUGGGGCAGAACCCUCGGGGUCACUGGCAUAAAGUCUAUUGAGCAAAGGAGUUCAGCACCAACUUCUGAAUGUCUCACAGUGAAAAAGUGGAUCAGUGGAGAGUGGUCCCUGGAGUCUGACCAGGGCAGAGAGAGGGACCACAGAAAGGAAGCAGGCUAGGGCUCCCACAGCACAGAGUGAAGUUACUAUCUAUUGCACUGUGACUAAGAGUAUGAGGUGUCCCAAUGCCCAUGACACAGUGUGUAUGUCUCACACUGAGCCCCAUAAAUAAAUAUAAAUGUCCUGUCUCCAUUAAAACAUGUAAUGGUUUAUAAACUGAAAUUCUUCCCUUUCUCAACUCUUGUCAGAUUGAGCAACUUGGCUGGAUUCUGCUGUCCCUGGGGUGCAGGUGUGUAGGGAGUAUUUAUUCCUGUUUGCAUCUUCCGAGUUACCUGUUUAAGGGGUAAACUCAUGCCUACCUCUCUUCCCAGGGUUUGAUAGUAUUCUUGUCCCAGAUACACAGUACCACUUCCGUGAGGCUGUUCAGGAGGCAAUGACUUAGGAUUUUGGAGUCCUUUGUUUCUGGAUUCUGUCCUCCCCAUUCCUGACCCCUCUUCAGUGGUACCAGCAGUGUUGCGACUCUCCAAAAAUGUGUGUCCUAUUCCUUUGCUUGAUUGUUCUGUCACCUUUCUGCUGAGGGUCCAGAGACAGAGCUACACGGCAACCUGAAGCCACAUGGUAGACUUGACUUAAAGAAGGCUGGAGGUAUAAAGCUUACUCUAGACUUUUCCUCCACCAUCUGGAGCCAGUCAGUCUUUCUUGACACCAGAUUAAAAACUGGUCUGUCUCAUCAUCCCACCACAGGGCUAUACCCUCUACCCAUUUCUGCCUCCCAUGUGACGCUUGCUGUGACAUCCAGAGAGGGUGCAUGUGCAAGUGUGCCUAGAGCAUCCAGAGCAAAGGCUCAGAGUGCUAUACUCCGAGAAAGCAAAGCGAAUCUUUGUAGCUGAGCAGGGGAUGCUAGAUUGCAGCAGAGUAGAAGAGGCAGUGGCUUGUUGCCCUCUCUAAAUCAAAGGUCUAUUGGGUGGACGUUCAGAGUACAGGCAGCACAAGCGAUUCCUCUUGAUGCUGUUCAGCCUGAGUGACUACUGCAGUGCUGUAUUCACAGUAUACUGUCCAGCAUGUAAACCUAGACCCUGUGUGGACAGUGAGCCUGGCCUGAGAUGCACUACAAAGGAAAAAUGCUGGGCUUUUUCUGUCUUCUCGCCUCAAUGCUGGGGAUGGACCUCUGGGCCUCAGUGUUCUGAGCAUGUACUUCACCACUGAGCUGAACCCCCAGGCCCAAUGCACUGGGUUUUAAACACCUAGUAAAGUUAGUUGUAUUUUAAGAAACCAUUUUAUUAGCACUCAGAUGCUGGCUGGCUAUGCAUCAGAGUGAUAGCACUUUAGACAUACCAUCUUCUGUAGGUAUGGGUUAGAUGAAAUACCUUCAGCCUUCAUUUUAACUAUUUCGUUUUACUAUUUUGAACAUACUUUUUAAGAAAUUUUCACCCUUGUACCUAGCUCAUGCUGAAUUUUUCAACAGCGGUGAAUACUCAAGGCUGUGAGGUUUGCCUCACUUGAACCUGAGGACGGCUUGGCUCUGUGGAGUUUCUACCCUUCCUUUGUUUUGCAGCUAGAUUUGCUGUUAGACCAUGAUAACCACACAGACCUUACACCAAGGCACCUCUGAGUUUUGGGACUAGCUUUUUACUUGUGGUCUUCGCUGUAAGUCUAGACCCACCUGAUUGUGAGUUUUCUCACCUGUGGACACCACGUCUGUCUUCCAAACCUCACUGUGGGCAGGGGUAGGGACAACCUUCUAGUUUUCUAUCUACAUUUUAAAACAUUUUUGUUGUGAUGAUUGAAGAAUUGUGCUUUUACCCCAAUUAGCAAAGGAAAUAUUUCUGUUUUGAAAUUUUAUUGCAAAUGUAAAACAGAAACCCACCCCUUGGCUCCUAUUGCAGUAGGCUUGCCAGCUAGCAAUAAUGAAACCAUGGUCACCAACAUUCCAGGAGAGCACCCUGCCAGGCUGUUUGCUUUCCAGGAAUUACCUCAGUUGAUCUUGACUAACAACUACAGAAGCAGUGACUUACCACCUUCAUUUCAUAGCUACAGCAACUGAGAGCCAGACAGGUGAGGUGACUUUCCCACAGUCAUGAACCAAGGAGGCAUUGAGUAUGUCUCAAGAUGCUCAGAAUAGUCAUAGUGUCCUGUUCUUCACAGUGUCAUCCACCUAUGACAAAAUGACAAGACAAAAGGAUGAAGAGAGAACAGAUAUUUGUAGGAUGUGUGCUUCUGAUGGACUCUGGUUUAUGAUGUUUAUUGUUUGUGUCUACAGUGUGUUCUCUUAGAAUGUCUCCCUCUUUUUCGCACUCUGUCAAUGUGUAGAAAUGGAUGUUGGCUUUGCCUUUGAGCCCAGGCCUUGGUUGGUCUAUUAGGGUUAGUUCCAACAAAGAAAAAUGAGGUGUUAGUGGUUGAUUAUGCAGCCUGGUGAGCACAGGGUAGUAAUUGUUAAAACACACACACACACACACAGACACACACACAAGAGGUGAUGGGUGUGCCAAUUGACUUGGUAUCAUCUUUAUAUAUGUAUAUACAUGUACGCAACCUUCCAAAUGUAUAUACAGUUUUUGUAUGGUAAUUUAAAAAAAAUGUAAAGGGGAAAUAGAAAUUCCCAGGUAAACUUCUAUAGCAUUAACAUGGGUUACACAAUAUCUAAACAACAGUAAACCUUUUGUUCUCUGUGGCCUUGUCUUAGGUGUAUACAGUCAGUACAACCCUUAGCACUCUGUGUCCCCAUUGUGUAUAGUGAGGCCUCAAUAAAUGUUAUUUAUUAAUGUUUAUUGCUGUACUUCUGAAAUCAUGCCUUUGGCAGGGAAAAAAGCACACUGUGUUUAAGGCUGUCAAUCAAACCAUUCGAUGGGACGGCCAGUGUUGUGAUGUGGACAUGUUAACUCAUCACACGCAAUUGUUGCUUAGAGUAAGCUUCUUAGAAUAAGAUCUAACCUUUGAUUAGAGAAAGGCUUUGAGUGGAUUAAUUUCUGUUGGGCUGGAAUCUCCCACUUUGCCUGAUGUACCCGCCACACCUGUACCCUCGCAGAUCCAGUGGGCUUGUUCACUGAUGCCUAUCUUCCUUUGCUGUUCCAUGUUUAACCAAGAGGAUUAGAAGGCAUUGAUGUAGUAUUUUCUUUUCAAGUUAGGCCCUAAUACCUCAGUGGGGUGGGGAUCCAUGGGUGGUGGUGGCAGGAGUCUGUGGUCAAAGUUCAAAGCUGUUGUGUCAUUUAGAAAAUUUAAAUGUGCUUGUGCACUGAGUUCUGGUCUGAAGCCAUAAGGAAUGAGCUUUGUCGGGCCUAGAAAUGUCCUUGCAGAGUGCUUACUUCACCAGAGAAGGAAGGGCCAGCGUGAUGAGAGCCAAAAGACUCUAUUGCAACAGGGCUGUUCACUUCCAUUCACUGUGUCUGGCCUGUCAUGCAUUCUCUGGUCUGAGGUCUGCUCUAGAGAGCUGAGUAGGUAAAGAAUUGCAAGUGUUGAGAGUCACAGCCAGAUUUGCCUCUGUGCCUUUAGCUGGUGGCUCCACAGAAAACAGGACAUGUUUAUCUCAAGAGUGACAAUAACUGUAAACACCCAGUCACAAAGUUCAGCCUUUGAGACUGCAUGUUUAAAUGGGGCAGAAGGGGGAUAUGGACGCUAGGGCUGUAGGAGCUCAUGACGAGGAGUACCCACCAUGGGCCUGGGUGGAGAAAGGGUCAUGGAAUUUACAGAGGGACAGUAGAGUUGUUAGGCAAAGAGUUCAUCCACACAUCAGGAAGAAAGUACAGAGCUUUGCCACAUUCUCAUUUGAUUGUUGCAAGUAGGUAAAUAAGGUCCAUUUAGUAGGAAGAUGGGUACCUUCCACUGCCCAUGAGGUGAGCAUUCCCCUUAUUGCUAGCUUAGCAGAAAGGCAAUAGCAUCUCUGAGAGCUGUUACUUCUUCAGACCAGCAUGUCCCAGAGCUGGGCAUUGAGGUGUUUCUCCCUAUCCCAACCAUUGUGGUUUCUCAUCCUACACUAGGCUCCCCUCUGGGUCUCUCAGGCCUUGCUCAGCUCCCCUCUUACAGGGUUCAGUCAUACACAGUGCAUAGAUUCUCACACAUACGUGCACGGAUCCUCAUUUGCCACAGCUGAGAAACAUGCAACACAUAGUUCAGUCACUGUUUCUGGAGUCUAGUCUUGGAUGGCUUCAGUGAGUUUUGACUCAGGGACUUGUGAGUCUGUAACUUGAAUGCAGGUGUCAAUGCUGACAUCUUUACCAAGCAUUUUUGGGGGUGACUUUAGUCCAGUGAACUUAAAAGACUGAGAAAGAACCCAUCAAGACUGCUGUUUCCAGCCAUGCUCCCCUGUCCCAACAUGGCUGUUUGUGUCAUCGGGGCCACACAGGAACGUCUAUGUCCUCAAAAGAGCCUCCACCCCCUUUAAAAAACAAAAACAAAAACAAACCGAACAAACAAACAAACAAAAAACCCAAAUCUUAACUAAUUAGGCCAGACCCACCAAGCAAUAUCUCUGGUUUUCUCUGGUUGUGGACUAUAAACAAUACUUGCAAAUUUUCUUUCUGCCAUUCCACAUAGCACAAUCAGUGGAGUGCUGUCCCGUUCUGUUAAGUUUCCUGCGUAGUCACUGGCAUUGCGUCUGCCAUAGUUGCCAUUACUAAUGGAUUUCUUUUCAGCUUCCCGGAGGAAAGACAGCAGAAUUUGGAGCUGGGCAGGUCUGAGAUGGCUGUUAGGGGAGAGUCCUGAGGAUAGGAUGAGAGAGAGCUCAUGAGCACAAGAGAGGAUGCAUCAACUGUAUCCCUGUGUCCAGAGCUGGCCUCCAUUGAUCUACAGGCUGGCCUUACAUAUCCACUGCCGAUGAUGAGACGUCCCCCGGUGUUUUCUGGUGAUCAGUGGCCCGGUCACCAUAAGUGGAGCUCUGCCUCUAGUGAAAGACCUUGUCAUACAUUUCUCCUGGCAGGUUUAUGCCCUCAGUCUUGAGGAUGCAGAGAGAUAGUUUUAAAAAAUUUCAGGGGUUGGUCUGUCUUCGUGAGAUGGCUGGAAGCUUUUGAGAUUACCCCUGUGUAAGCCAGGUGCGGUGGCACACGCCCUUAAUUCCAGGGCUCAGGAGGCAGAGGCAGGCACAUCUCCGUGACUUUGAGGCCAGCCUGGUCUAUGGAGGGAGUUCCAGGAAGAAAGGAGCAAACAGUAGCUUUGGGGUCUGUGUCUACAUGAACAAAAUAAGCGAGACUCACUGUGUCCUUGUCUUUUUUCUCCAUAUUCACAGUCUCCUUCUACCCUUUUCCUUUCCUUCUUCUUGAACAAGGCAGCCUUCCAGUGAUAUUCUGGAGACCAGUGUUUAUGCUAGUAAUAGCUGCCAAGUUAAUAUAAUAAAAUAUAGAGCAGAAAACAUACACUCAUUAUAGUCCUUGCAAGAGCUUGAAUAUACUAUUCAAGUUCCAGUCACAUUUAAGCCCUUGGCUAAAGUAUUUCUAGUUCAUGCUUGGGGCACUGAAGUUGGAAUCGUCAUGUGUGCUAAGCAGGUAAAUGAACCCAGCUGUGAUGCACGCUCAGGCCAGUGCCCUGACCCAUUGAGGAAACUAGCUGGUAUGUUGUCAGUAACUUCAAAACUUGGAGCCUGUUCUUGGCCAGCUGCCAUGUUGUCCGUUUCUCCCAUCACUUUUCCACGUAAUGUAUAACCCACUGCAGCCUUGGAAAGCUGAACUAGAAAGAUGGCUAAAGACAGGGGAGAUGGCUCAGCUGUUGAAAGCACUUGCUGUGGAAGUCUGAGGACCUGAGGUGGAAUCCAAGCAACUACAUAAAGCACUGAGAAAGGCUGAGUAUGUCUUUAAGUCUAGGACUUGGAGUGGGGAUGGGGGCCUUGCUGCCUGGUGGUUCAGUGAGAGACCUCAUCUCAGGGUAAUAAGAUGGAGAGAAAUAAACAGGAUACCCAGUGCCUCUGACCUGCUUAUAUGCAACACCCCCUAUAUAUGUGUCCGCACUUGUGUGAAGGAAAAAGAAAGAAGGAAAGAUGGAUCUGUGACACUCUACUAGAUUCAGACAAACUGUCCUCCUAGGAUGUUGCAAAAGAGGGUGGGGUGGGAGGCCCUAAGAGGGCACACCAGACUACCAUAUGAAGCUGUCAACAGCCACCAGAAGAGCCCCACAUUACAAAUGAUAUCUGUGGUCGGUUUAUGUAAAGAUUCAUACCUGGAAAAUGAGCAUGGGACAGUGUUCGUUGGAGUGUAAAUCUGGCUCAUCAGUUUAAAUUAUGGUCCUCCUUUUUGACAAAGAGGGGGAAACAUAGUGGCGAUAAUUCCCGUAGAGACCUUGAGGGUUAGAAAUCUAUAUUUUGGGAAGCUGGAGAAUGCACUUAUAGUUGAGGAUUCGUUUCACUGACAGAGAUCAGUAAAGGUCUUUCUGGAUAAGGUACGUAUUGAGUUUCAGGACUGUCCUCUUUUCUCCUCCUGCCAGACUGUCUGAAACUUAUCUCACAUAUCAUGGUAAAAAGAGAUGUGGUGGGGAGUUAUAUGAACUGCCUUGCUAAAUGCAUAUCAGAGGGGGACUUUAUUCCAGUUUAGUAGGUUUAAUGAUGUGAUUUCCCAUAUUAAAUCAUAACUGUUUUUUUUUUUUAAAGAAAAUAGAGUGCCCUGCCUUGUCACUGCCCUGGUGUCCAUCCCACUGCCUCCCUGGGGCUUGCUGAUUUGACCCUAUCUCACACCCAGCCGUAGUGUUGCUGUGGAAACAGGAUGAGCCAGUGUGUCCAGCAAUGGCCUUGGCCUUGGCAAACCCAUGCUCUGCUUAGGAGUAGAUGGCACUUCUGCCAAUAUCCAGAUAGGAAUAAAUUUUCAGAAUUAGAUCCUAAAAAUCAGACAUGGUUCCAGUGUCUCUUGUCCCCUCUACUCCAGAGACUGAGACAGGAGGAUGGUUUGAGACCAAAAGCUCAAGGCCAGCCUUGGCAAUAUCUUCAAAAAAGAAUGAAAAGGAGAGAGAGGAGGAGGAGGUGAGGAAGGGAGGAGGGAUGGAGGGGAGGGAAGAUUCAUAUCAAAGUGAGUACGAUGCCUGGAUCACUUAGGACUACAUAAUUUGCAUAUUGGAUGUUUGUGUUUUAAUAAAGCCUCAUCACUUGAUUGUUUGGGUGACUGAUUUUCAAUUCUUUUAUUCUUUCCACUUCACUAGUUCAAAACCGGGAGGUGGUAAAAAAAGAAAAGGACAAACCUACCUGCAUUGACUCCAUGGGGUUGUUGGUUUGUUUCUUUGUUUUGUUUUUAUAUGAGUACACUGUAGAGCUGUCCUCAGACAUACCAGAAGAGGGUAUUGGAUCCCAUUACAGAUGGUUGUGAGCCACCAUGUGGUUGCUGGGAUUUGAACCUCUGGAAGAGCAGUCAGUGCUCUUAACCAAUGAGCCAUCUCUCCAUCCCAAUUUUUGUUUGUUUGUUUGUUUUUGUUUUUAAGAUUCUAUUUUAUUUUUAUUUUAUGUGUGUGAGUGUUUUUCCUCCUUGUGUGCUUACAUAUCUCAGGGGUGCAGGGCCCAGAGGCCAGAAGAGAGUGUUGGAUACUCUGGAAGUAGAAGAGUCAGACACAGUGGUGAGCAUGUGACAUGGCUGGGAAUUGAGUGGCCGGUGCUCUUAACUGCUAAGCCAUCAUUCCAGACCCUGCCUGCAUUUUUGGAUAAAAAUGGAUUUGUGGUUCUUGAACGCCUAUUUUUUUAGGCCAACUCUGACUUGUUUUGUCAUGUACUGAGUUAGAUGAAGAUACACCACAUUAGUAAGAAACCAUCCAUAGCUCUGUGUGUAUGCACUACCAUUAAAUGCCUCGUCCUGAUAGCAGGAAAUGCAGGACCUAGCUUUGUUGUUGUUUUGUUUUGUUUUUGUUUUUGUUUGUUUGUUUGUUUGUUUGUUUUUUGUGUUUUGUUUUGGUUUUUUGAGACAGGGUUUCUCUGUAUAGCCCUGGCUGUCCUGGAACUCACUCUGUAGGCCAGGCUGGCCUCGAACUCAGAAAUCCUCCUGUCUCUGCCUCCCCAGUGCUGGGAUUAAAGGCAUAUGCCACCACUGCUUGGCAGGACUUAGCUUUUUUUAACCAAAAUAAUUGUUUCUUUGUCUGUGGUUCUUUGAUGUAGCCUCACAGGAUCUUCAUAAAUUACAGUCUGCAAUAUAACUGUUCCUGCUUAACAGAGAGAAACUGAGGCUAGCAUUCAUGAUGUAAUUGCUGAAGUAAUUAGUUUGUGUCAAAAGGAAAACCAGGUCCUGGUUCAGUGGAUGAUGCUCUUACAGCUUGCAUGAGAACUGGAGUUUGGAUCCUCAGAACCCCCAUGAGAGCUCUGUGGUGGCCUGUAGUCCCAGCACUUGGAAGGCGAACCUGCUAGCUAGACAAGCCUGUGAAUUCCAGGCUCAGCGAAAGACCACGCCUACUCAAAAUAAAAUGUGGAGAAGGGUGGAGGAAAAUGGCCAGUGCCAAUGUGGGGUCUGCACACACAUACACACAUGCUGCCAGCACAUGUGCAUCUUUCAUAUCACAUACAUGUACACAAAAAUUAUUUCUCAGUGUUUUUAGAAGGAGAGAUACCUUGAUGGUUUUUUUCCUUAGUGUGCUGCAGGCUUUCUGGCAUUUAGGGGCCAUGAACAUGGGUUUUAGAAAGAAGUAGGUUAAGGAGAAAGAACAAAUAAGAAAGGUACAAAAUUCUUCGUACAGUAAGGUUGACUAUUUUUAAAAUUUUGAGACCUCUAUGUUUUCUUUCAUAUUUGCUAAGUUUCUAUUGAAUCUUAUGUCCUUAUUUAUUUAUAAUGAUUUCUAUAUACCAUAAAAAGAUCUAAGGCCUGGAAUGCAAAUAUUUCCCUGUUACAUGAUUGUUAGUCAUAUUCAGCUUUAAUGUGAUUUUAUUAUAGUAGCUAUUUCCACAUGGUUGAUGAGAUUUUUGUAAUUAUAUUUGGAAAUACAGUCUCACUUCUAAAAUUACCUCUUUAAAAAAUUAAAAAACAAACAAACAAAAUACCAAGCAUGGUGGCACACACCUGUAAUAACCCAGCAGUCAAGGGGCUUCAGAAGUGGGGUAGUGAAUUGGAGGCUAGCCUGGGUGAUGGUAGCAGGGGCUAGGCUCUGUCUAAAACACUAAACAAAUCUUAGUGAAAAGACCAAAAGAAUCUUCUUUAAGUCAAGGCAAGUAAAGCUAGAAUCUUAGACCCUCAUUGCGAGUCUGGAUAAAAGUAGAUUGCAGUUCCUGAAUGUGCUUUGUUUCAUUUGUGUGUCCCAUAUAAUUAUCAUUGGUUUGUUCAGACAAUAUUCAUAGACAGAGAUGAAUAAGACCAGAAGCAUAACCCUUGGUCUAGGAAAGCUAGUGUCUGCGGUGGGGGAAGAUGAAGAACCAGUUUAGGAAACAGCCAUGCGUGUUCCUAAACAGUGGAGUUGUCUGGGGGCAGUGGAGCAGCAGUGUUCAGGUGUAAAGGACCGUGUAGAGAAGGAGAUCCACAUCCAAUCCCUCCCUUCAAGGGUUAGGGGUCUGUGCAGAAGGCGAGUAGAAAGAUUGUAGGAGUCAGAGGUGGUGGCUGACUCCAGGGAGACAGUGUUAUCCAGACAUAACAAGACUGGUGCAGGUGUGAACUCACAGAGACUGGCGGCAUGCAUAAGACCUCCACAGGCUCAAACCAGACAGAACCCCAAUAUGGAGAAUGGGAGGUGGGCAAGCUCCACUCCCAAGAUGCUUUUUUUUUUUUUUU